UUCGUAGUACUUACUACGCAUGUGUGUGUGUAUCAAAAUGUAAUAUGUUCGUGAGAGAGUGCACUGUGCGCAGUGUGUCUCCACCUAGUCCACCUCCUCCCGCAUCAUCAUCAUCGUAUUGUGUGCAUAUGUAAACACAUGAUACCUAAUGAAUCAUCAGUAUUUAACUUAUCAUCACUGUCGUAAGUUAAGUAGUCAGUACACACUCAUUUCGUGAUAUACUUGAACUUCGUGACGUGCAGCGCCUACAUACAUAUAUACUUUACCUAUAGUUAGAUUAGACAGAGAUGAGGAAGAGGACGUAUAUACGGUAUAUCGAGGACGUGGAGUGAUAAGAAGAGUUGUUAUCACAAUCGAACUGGAGAUGAUUUCUGGCUAGUGAAGUUAGAGGUGUUCUCGGUACAAGAGACUUGACACUGAGAUUAUAUGAUGUGUUUGUGAUUUGAGUGGCAUAUACGAAGCAACCAAAUGUGUCUAUUAAUUCAAUGUUAGGCCAGAUGAUUUUAUUAUCUUUGAUGUACAAAAACAUAUUUUAUAUUUGAACAUUUUUUAAGUAAUACCGUAUAUAUACAUAUAUGUAGAUGAAACUUCGUAAGAAUUUGUGAUGUGCAAAUUUUACAAUUGCUCACACGUACUUUAGCUGAGAAAAUUGCAGCCAUCAGUAUCAUCAUUACCAUCAUCAGCUUGAAAUUUUGAUUCUAAGAAAUACAUAUAUAUGUAUAUUUUUUUGAGUAAAUGGUGCUAGUCACUGCUUUGAAGUGGAUCUAAGACACACACACACAUGCAAUGCCGAGAUGCUGCAAUGAGAACAAAUCACUGAGGCUGGUGAGCAGCAAUCAGCAACACGGCACAGAUAAUAUUUUACUCCCACACCCUCGACCUUAUUCCAUUGCUGGUGGAGAGCAGUUAGAUGUAGAAGAGGAUCCGCCUGUGGUCGUUGUUCAAAGAUCUCACAGGAGGGUACGCUGUGAUCUUAGUCCUGUCCCUACCAAUACUAAUUCCAAUUACAUCAAGUUAAUUGGUAUAAAGGACAAAUCCAGUCGACAAGAAAAUCAAUUAAAACACAGUCCUGGAAGUAGUGGACAUAGAGAUAGAGAAAGAGAGGCAAAAAAGAGAGCAGCUAUAGGCAACGUAGUGCGUGGACUUUUCCCUUCAGGCCAUAGUAGGCAGGAC
This is a long non-coding RNA of Copidosoma floridanum, 1173 nucleotides long. The record is from RefSeq and is a predicted model, not a curated record. NCBI's taxonomy places the organism in Eukaryota, Metazoa, Arthropoda, Insecta, Hymenoptera, Encyrtidae.